UAUACCUUAGUUUAGGAAGAAUUUUUGUUUUUGGUGCAAAGGGGUUAAGGUAUAG
Molecule: transfer RNA, 55 nt
Filed under: Toxocara cati (cat roundworm)
Lineage: Eukaryota; Metazoa; Nematoda; Chromadorea; Rhabditida; Toxocaridae
Description: transfer RNA-Gln
Source: RNAcentral